GCAAACUUGGUCAUUUAGAGGAAGUAAAAGUCGUAACAAGGUUUCCGUAGGUGAACCUGCGGAAGGAUCAUUAACGUGUGUUCGUCGAUGUUUUUAAAACAUUGUUCGUCCCCACCCUUGUCUACCUUACCUGUUGCUUCGGCAAGCCUGUGGCCUCUGUGCUGCUGCCGGGAGUCUUCUUGUCUCUUGGCUCGUUGCUUGCCGAAGAUCACUAAACUCCAUAUUAAAGUAUGACGUCUGAGAAUAAACUUGCUAAUAGCAUAAAAACUUUCAACAACGGAUCUCUUGGUUCCGACAUCGAUGAAGAACGCAGC
RNAcentral lists this unclassified non-coding RNA (314 nucleotides) under uncultured fungus. RNAcentral describes it as "partial contains small subunit ribosomal RNA, internal transcribed spacer 1, and 5.8S ribosomal RNA". The stretch from base 1 to 73 matches the Rfam family "Eukaryotic small subunit ribosomal RNA", at positions 1759 to 1831 of the family's 1831-position model. The record is from RNAcentral. Lineage: Eukaryota; Fungi.